AGCGUUGUUCGGAAUUACUGGGCGUAAAGCGCACGUAGGCGGUUAUUCAAGUCAGAGGUGAAAGCCCGGAGCUCAACUCCGGAAUAGCCUUUAAGACUGCAUCGCUUGAAUCCAGGAGAGGUGAGUGGAAUUCCGAGUGUAG
RNAcentral lists this ribosomal RNA (142 nucleotides) under uncultured Alphaproteobacteria bacterium. RNAcentral's name for it is "partial 16S ribosomal RNA". It matches the Rfam family "Bacterial small subunit ribosomal RNA", at positions 537 to 678 of the family's 1533-position model. Lineage: Bacteria; Pseudomonadati; Pseudomonadota; Alphaproteobacteria. The record is from RNAcentral.